RNAcentral lists this ribosomal RNA (206 nucleotides) under uncultured bacterium. RNAcentral's name for it is "partial 16S ribosomal RNA". It matches the Rfam family "Bacterial small subunit ribosomal RNA", at positions 568 to 775 of the family's 1533-position model. The record is from RNAcentral.
CGCGUAGGCGGGCUGUCAAGUCUGGGGUGAAAUCCCACGGCUCAACCGUGGAACUGCCUUAGAUACUGACGGCCUCGAGGGAGAUAGGGGCGAGCGGAACUGUGAGUGGAGCGGUGAAAUGCGUUGAUAUUCACAGGAACUCCGGUGGCGAAGGCGGCUCGCUGGAUCUUUUCUGCGCUGAGGCGCGAAAGCUAGGGAGCAAAACG